Molecule: ribosomal RNA, 679 nt
Filed under: uncultured bacterium
Lineage: Bacteria
Description: bacterial SSU rRNA
Rfam family: Bacterial small subunit ribosomal RNA
Source: RNAcentral
UAACACAUGCAAGUCGAACGAUGAUAGAGAGCUUGCCUUCUUGAUUAGUGGCGCACGGGUGAGUAAUGCAUAGAUAAUGUGCCCUUAGUUCGGGAUAGCCACUGGAAACGGUGAUUAAUACCGGAUACUCCUUCUUGUUAUAAGACAAGUCGGGAAAGUCUUUCGCUAAGGGAUCAGUCUAUGUUCCAUCAGCUUGUUGGUGAGGUAAUGGCUCACCAAGGCUAUGACGGAUAUCUGGUUUGAGAGGAUGAUCAGACACACUGGAACUGAGACACGGUCCAGACUCCUACGGGAGGCAGCAGUGAGGAAUAUUGCACAAUGGAGGAAACUCUGAUGCAGCAACGCCGCGUGGAGGAUGACGCAUUUCGGUGUGUAAACUCCUUUUAUUAGGGAAGAUAAUGACGGUACCUAAUGAAUAAGCACCGGCUAACUCCGUGCCAGCAGCCGCGGUAAUACGGAGGGUGCAAGCGCUACUCGGAAUCACUGGGCGUAAAGGGUGCGUAGGCUGGCUUUUAAGUCAGAUGUGAAAUCCAAUGGCUCAACCAUUGAACUGCAUUUGAAACUGAAAGCCUAGAGUUCAGAAGGGGCAGAUGGAAUUAGUGGUGUAGGGGUAAAAUCCGUAGAUAUCACUAGGAAUAUCAAAAGCGAAGGCGAUCUGCUGGGAUGAUACUGACGCUGA